Molecule: ribosomal RNA, 665 nt
Filed under: uncultured bacterium
Lineage: Bacteria
Description: bacterial SSU rRNA
Rfam family: Bacterial small subunit ribosomal RNA
Source: RNAcentral
GUAGUCCACGCCGUAAACUAUGGAUGCUAGCUGUAUUCGGUAUCGACCCCGGAUGUAGCGAAGCUAACGCGUUAAGCAUCCCGCCUGUGGAGUACGGUCGCAAGACUAAAACAUAAAGGAAUUGACGGGGACCCGCACAAGCGGUGGAGCGUGUCGUUUAAUUCGAUGGUAAGCGAAGAACCUUACCCAGGCUUGACAUCCUUGGAAUUUCUCCGAAAGGAGAAAGUGCCUUUGGAACCAAGUGACAGGUGAUGCAUGGCCGUCGUCAGCUCGUGUCGUGAGAUGUUAGGUUAAGUCCUUUAACGAGCGCAACCCUUAUAGUUAGUUGUAUUUCUCUAGCUAGACUGCCCUGGUAACAGGGAGGAAGGGGGGGAUGAUGUCAGGUCAGUAUUUCCCUUACGUCUGGGGCUACAAACACGCUACAAUGGCCGGUACAAAGGGCAGCCAAGUCGCAAGACGGAGCAAACCCCAUCAAAGCCGGUCUCAGUUCGGAUAGCAGGCUGAAACUCGCCUGCUUGAAGCUGGAAUCGCUAGUAACGGUGAGUCAGCACAUCACCGUGAAUACGUUCCCGGGUCUUGUACACACCGCCCGUCAAACCAUGAAAGUCGCCAAUACCUGACGUGCUAGCUUGCCUAGCCCUAAGGUAGGGGAGAUGAUUGGGGUU